CACAAAAUGUAUUCGAAUUGAAAGAUAAAGCUUUAGCUAAAAUAUCAAAAAUAAAAUAAUGAAUCAAGCAAUUUUGAAUAAUCAUAAAUUAAAAAUAAAUAUAUAUAUUUAAUAUAUAAAGUCUAAAUAUAUAACUCUGCAGUAAAAAUCUAAUAUCGUUAAACCAUUAGCUGGCUUAAUAAUGGAAGUAAAUGUUUGUCUGUGUGUGUAUGUAUGUGUGUGUGUGUGUGUGUGUGUGCAUAUUUUAUGUCAUUUGUACUGUUUGAUAUUAUAAUCACAUGAACACAUUAUGCUCCCUAUAACAGUUCAGUUAUUAGAGUUUGCUAAUUUAUAGUCACAUCAGUUGAUCUACAGCAUGCCAAGACGCCAUUAGCUGACUUGUUUGAGGUUGUCAGGGUCACCUUUCUCUGCUAAUAUUUUAUUUCAUUAACAAGACGAAACAUGACAGAUGAAAAGUCCCAAAUCUCAAAAACUGUAUAAUUCAAUCAUGGUUCUUUCUCUUUCAUAAAAUUGCAGCUGGUGUCCUUUUACUGGAAGGGCAGGCAAAACGCUUAAAAUAUUGUAAUUAUAACAGAACAUGUUGGUGCUGCACAGUGGAGUCAUUCAAAUGUGUUCUUGUCUGUUCCUGCAGAAUGUAUUGUGUGGGUUGAGAAUCCUCUGAAUGACACCACUGAAACAGAUGAUAGAGACAUUGCAAACACCGCUGUAACCUUUGUUUUCCUGUUCCUCAUCACCUUGUUCUACAGCAUAGGGGCUACUAUUGUUAAGGUGAAAUGAUAGAUUCCUUCAAGGACAUGCAAGAUUUCUCAGAAAAACAGCUCUAUUAUUUUUUUUUCAUUACUGUAAAUAUGUGAUUGUGAUGUUUGUUUGUUUUUAAAUUUUGCUUUAAUAAAAGAAAGAAAUCAUUUGAUUGCUCUUGUAUUUUUUUCUAGUUUACAAAGCUUUGAUUUGCACGAUCACCUCUAACGCUGCUCUGAAGAUGUUUAUGUAAACUACAUAAGGAGUAGCAUUUAUUAACACAGAGAAGUAUUUAAAAGCCCUUUUGAAAUAUAAUCUGGAUGUAAUAAUUUCUUAAAUCCAAAGGUUUUGGUUUUUUCUCUCUCUCUUUUUUAAGCUGAAGCGCAGCUCUUCUAGAUGUGGAUAUUUAUGAGUCUAAAUAUUUCAUGCUGCAAAGUAUAUUAAAACUUGAAUUGCAUAACAAGCAAGUCGUUUUAUGUAAAUGGCAAGGUGUCUUUCCUGUGCAGAUGUGCUCAGCCAUGUCUCAGAGAUGCAGAUGGUUUUCAGUUCUGCUUUUGGUGGCUAUUUCAGCUUGACUGUUACUUAACAUUUCCAUCUGCUAUUUGCUAUGUUCAUUGAAGCAUGAUUCUGAUUUCCUCUUCUGUCCAUCUUUGUUUUCAGUAUCUGCAACAUUUAAAAAUUCCCAAAAUGUAAAUAACCGCCACACUAAAACAUCAGCAGCAUUCAUUUUCAUCAAGCAUUUUCAUAUAAUGUGUACAUUUCUUUAUACCAAACUGCCUAAGUUAAUUGAUGUUGUCUAUUUUUUAAUAGCAAAACGUAUCACAAGGCCUACUAUUGCUGUGCUGAGUAGUGAGGACGCUAACGGGAUUACGUUGGAGUGCCAGUUGAAUGAUUAUUUCCCAGAAAAAAUUAGUGUACAAUGGCUUGAGGGUGAAACGUUUGCCGGGAAUCAAAUUGAUAAAAUUCUUCAGAGCACAGAAUCAAAUGAGAAAAACUACACUUACAUAAGUCAGCUAUUUAUCCCAGCUAUUUAUCCAUAUCAAAACAAAAACUAUGCUUGUAAAGCCACCCACAAUUCUGAAGUGUUCAAGAAAGAAUACAACACAUGCAAAGCACAAUCUUUCUCCAAACCUUCAGUCCGAAUAGAGAAAGUCAAUCUCAGAGACAUUACACCGGAGAAUGGGAUCACAAUUCGCUGUGAUGUUGAAGCACCAGACAACACUGAAGUGUCAUGGUUAACAGAUGGCAUAAGUAAAAGAGCCACCAAAGAUAUCAAAGACCUGCCCAAUAACAUUAACAGCUACUUGACUUUGUCCAGAAAUGAUUGGUUGAACCUUACGACUAUUGUUUGUGUCGCCAAACAUCCAUGUUUUGAAGCAAAGGAUGAAAUUCACAAAAAUAAUACAAAGACAGAUCCUGUAGUGGUGAUCAGGAGGUCUCUUGUGAAUUCAACGCAGACAGACAGUGCUGUGCUGGAGUGUGUUGUAAAUGGUCUCCCUUCUGGUGAAGUCUGCAUCAACUUCCAGGCCAAUCAUUUGGAUAUCUCAGAUUUAAUUUGUGUGGAUUGGGCCUCGUCUGAGAACAUCUGGUCCUUGACCACACAUUUUACAAUACCUAAAGAACACCAGAAAAAUGGAAAAACCUUUACCUGUACAGUUCAUUUGCUCUUCGAAUCCUGGACAUCGAAACCUACAGGAAAUAUUUUUGGCGAUCCUACCAUAGAGCUUGCUGUUGUUUCCAGUGUGGGUCAGUCUAGUCCAGACACACAGAAGCUGCUGUGUUCUGCGACAGGAUUCAACCCAAAAAUCAAGUGGUUUUCACAGUCUAGUGAGAGAUCUGCCAGCGCUUUAGAGCCCAAAAUAAUGGAUGAUGGUCUUGUGAAAGCAUACAGUGAGAUACUGCUGACACAGAAAGAGUGGAAUCGAGGGUUCACUUACACCUGUCAGACUGAUAACGGACACAGCGGGAACACUAUUGAGAAAAGUACCAGUAUCUGCACAGUAAUCGCACCAUCCAGUCAGCAGGCAAAGGUCUACCUGGUGGGUCCAUCUCUAAGUAGUGUGAGAUCUGACACCUCUGUGAAUGUGACAUGUUUGAUUGUUGGUCAGAGAGUCAAUUUAUUCUCCAUUCAAUGGAAAGUGAAUGGUAUCGUUUCCAGUCCAAAUGGCCUUGAACAAAAGCCUAGAGUUCAUGACAAUGGGACUCAAAGCAAAGGAAGUACGUUGAAGGUUUUAGUUACAGACUGGGAUUCGUACGCUCUCUUUACCUGUGAGGUUAAGCAUCUUUGCUCAAAUGAUACACAGCAGAAGAGCAUCUCAAAAACCCGAGACCCAAAACAACCCUCUGUGAAAAUCUUCAGACCCUCAGACAGUGAUCUCUCUGGGCUCCAAAAUGCCAGUCUAGUUUGUUUGAUCACUGGUUUCUUCCCAUCUGAUAUCACCGUGCAGUGGCAACUAAAUGAGACACAGCUGGAUGCAUCUCAGUUCAUUAACAGUCCUGUGGCUGCUCACACUUCAGGAGGUUUUACGAUGCAUAGUGCCCUAAUGCUGCCUGCAUCAGAGUGGAAAGAUGGCACAUUCUCAUGUGUUGUUUCUCAUGAAUCAUCCCAAUAUCCAUUCAAGGCCACUAUAGAGAACGUGUAUGCCUCGUUGACUCACUCUCCUCCGUCUGUAAAGCUGCUGCAGGGUACUAGUGUGCCUGAGCUAGUGUGCUUGGUAUUUGGUUUCAGCCCACCUGACAUCAACAUCACCUGGUGGCUAGGUGAAACUAAGAUGUCUGCCGACAGCAUCACAAACCCUGCAAAAGGCCCUAAUGGAAAAUUUAGUAUCCAAAGUCGCCUGGAUCUCCAACCUUCAGACUUGACACCUGGUGGGGUGUACACUUGCAAGGUCUCUCACGUUACUGGUAUCUUCAACGAGAACGUCUCAACGAGAACAACAUUGUUUGAAGAGGCUAUAUUUAUGAAUGAGAACAAGCCUGAAACCUUUAAACAGGAUACAGUGGAAGAGACUUGGAAUAUGGCCUGUGUUUUCCUCAUCCUCUUCCUCCUCUCUUUUUGCUAUGGGUGCACAGUGACUUUGGUUAAAAUCAAGCCUACAUGAACAAUAUUGUGUGUGUGUGUGUGUGUUAUGCCUACUAGAUUGCUAUGCUUUUUUGUUGUUAUUAUUUUGUUUAUCUUAUAUGUUGUCUUAUAACUGACUUAGCUUUGCAAAAAUUAAGUGGUAAAUUCAGCGUUUGGCCUAUGAAUAUGAAUAAAUAAGUGGUUUUAAUACACACACUUUUAAUUAUAUAUUAGCAGUACAUCACAGAUUUGUCCUUUUUUCAGAUUAUCAGUGAAUGUUAUCUCAAAUUAUGUAUUGUUUUUGAAUAAAAGAUCCAAAUCUAU
Molecule: non-coding RNA, 4123 nt
Organism: Puntigrus tetrazona (Sumatra barb)
Lineage: Eukaryota; Metazoa; Chordata; Actinopteri; Cypriniformes; Cyprinidae
Source: the annotation of a RefSeq genome assembly